CUAUUCACCCGUUGACCCAAUCGGUUCAACCAAUAAUAAUUUUUGUUAGACAUGGGGAACAUAGUCAUAAAGAGCCUAGCUCCACUUCUUGGACACUUUGCAAACUAAUUUUACUGCUAAAAAGACCUUCUUUAAAACCUUUUAAUACAAUGACAUAUAGACUGUGAAGAAACAUAGUUCUUUAAUCUUUUUAAUUAAUGACUUCCAACACUUGACUCCUACAUGUAAAAUAACUAGAAGAGUGACAAUGACUACCGUCACCCAAAGAACAUUGUCUCCACAAAUUGUAAAUUGUGAAUUCGACUGCAUCUUGGUCCGCUUACUUUUAUAAAAAAAAGUUUUAAGCAUCGUGUAAGCGAAAGACGGGAUCACAUGCGUGCCCCCUGAAAGGAUGUUGGCUAAAUAAAAAAAGAUAAUCUCCAUACGUUACUUUUCUUCAAAGCAAGAUGAUCGAUAAAUCAUAAUCCCUGGUAACAGUUGAUUUUCUUCAUUCCUUUUCCCAGUUUCAACGAGUGCAAGUUAUAACGAGGGAUGUAAAUGUGUGAUCUGAGAUCCUUGGAUAUCUGACGA
Molecule: long non-coding RNA, 570 nt
Filed under: Neodiprion pinetum (white pine sawfly)
Lineage: Eukaryota; Metazoa; Arthropoda; Insecta; Hymenoptera; Diprionidae
Description: uncharacterized LOC124221798
Source: RNAcentral